AAUACCGCAUAACAAUAAAAGCCACAUGGCUUUUGUUUGAAAGAUGGCUUUGGCUAUCACUCUGGGAUGGACCUGCGGUGCAUUAGCUAGUUGGUAAGGUAACGGCUUACCAAGGCGAUGAUGCAUAGCCGAGUUGAGAGACUGAUCGGCCACAAUGGAACUGAGACACGGUCCAUACUCCUACGGGAGGCAGCAGUAGGGAAUCUUCCACAAUGGGCGCAAGCCUGAUGGAGCAACACCGCGUGAGUGAAGAAGGGUUUCGGCUCGUAAAGCUCUGUUGUUGGAGAAGAACGUGCGUGAGAGUAACUGUUCAUGCAGUGACGGUAUCCAACCAGAAAGUCACGGCUAACUACGUGCCAGCAGCCGCGGUAAUACGUAGGUGGCAAGCGUUAUCCGGAUUUAUUGGGCGUAAAGCGAGCGCAGGCGGUUGCUUAGGUCUGAUGUGAAAGCCUUCGGCUUAACCGAAGAAGUGCAUCGGAAACCGGGCGACUUGAGUGCAGAAGAGGACAGUGGAACUCCAUGUGUAGCGGUGGAAUGCGUAGAUAUAUGGAAGAACACCAGUGGCGAAGGCGGCUGUCUGGUCUGCAACUGACGCUGAGGCUCGAAAGCAUGGGUAGCGAACAGGAUUAGAUACCCUGGUAGUCCAUGCCGUAAACGAUGAGUGCUAGGUGUUGGAGGGUUUCCGCCCUUCAGUGCCGGAGC
RNAcentral lists this ribosomal RNA (702 nucleotides) under uncultured bacterium. RNAcentral describes it as "bacterial SSU rRNA". It matches the Rfam family "Bacterial small subunit ribosomal RNA", at positions 165 to 852 of the family's 1533-position model. The record is from RNAcentral.